This 786-nucleotide long non-coding RNA is filed under the name Brassica napus (rape). RNAcentral describes it as "long non-coding RNA (BNAP_LNC010531)". The record is from RNAcentral. Lineage: Eukaryota; Viridiplantae; Streptophyta; Magnoliopsida; Brassicales; Brassicaceae.
UGGCUUCUCUGUGGUGAUUAAUUUUUUUUUUGUUUCUGUCUUUUGCGUGCUGAGAUGAAGGGAUCAAUAUGCGUUUGAUAUGUUCUAUAGAAGCUGAGGUUUGUGUUUGUUUCUUAAUCCUCUUCUGUCUUAGAUAAAAUAGCUUUUGUAAUGUGUACCUGAAAAGAAAAGAAUUAAAGUCUCAGUCUUUGUUUUUUAAUCCUCUUAUGUCUUAGAUAAAAUGCAUCUUGAUAUGUUCGGUCUUUGUGUGUUAGAUGGCUGGAUCAAGUGUGCUUAAGCAAGGGUCAUUUGACAGAGGAAUACGCAGCAUCACAGGUUAGUCUUUCUCUCUUUCAUCUGGUCGGAAAUGUGCUGGUGUGGCUUCUGGUCUGUAAUGAAAUGGUCUAGCUUCUGUCUGAAUGGUAGUUAGGGUAAUUAAUGGUUGCUUUAGUGUUCGGUUAUGGUUGUCUCACCGUAAUAAAAAAAAUUGAUGGUGUGGUUUGAGUUAUUUGAAAUUGAAAAUAAAGCAUUGUUUGUUGUUAGUUGUUCGUAGUUAGAUAUAUGUUAAGUCAUAACAAUUGAAGUGUUCUUUCCAGCUUUGUUUUAAAGAUGAUUAAGUUACAUAGACGUGUUGGUUGUGUGUUGAAUGUGAAACCUCUCUUCUUCAUUUUCUUGAAAAUUUUAUAAGUUGUGUCUUCUAGUUCCUUCUCCAACAGAUGAAUGCGUCUUCUCGUUCCUUCUCCUCUUUCCUCUGUUUCUCCUCUUUCGCCUGUGUCUCCUCUUUCUCCUCUGUCUCAUGUGUCUCCU